Long non-coding RNA from Schistocerca piceifrons (Central American locust), 1808 nucleotides. RefSeq lists it as uncharacterized. NCBI's taxonomy places the organism in Eukaryota, Metazoa, Arthropoda, Insecta, Orthoptera, Acrididae. The record is from RefSeq and is a predicted model, not a curated record. The transcript is spliced from 5 exons.
CGUAACUCUCCAUGCAUGUCUGUUCUAUGCAACCCCUGCCAUUGCGUUACUACUACUGCAUCCUACACCCAUUUAAACCUGGUUACUGUGGUCUAGCCUAGUUAAGUGCACUUACGGUGUCGGCGGCUCUUCCGCUGUGUGGUGGAGUUAGCAGUUCGUUUCUGUUAGUCAUAGCCAAUUGAGUGACAGUAUACAGUAGCCAGUGACAAUUGCUGAAUCUAGUCACUUGUUUCGGUGGAAGAUAUAAAUUAAUUGCAUUUGCUUUCAUCACGGAUAGUGUGAGAUUGACUGACAGUUCUUGAUACGGGUGUUAUGAAUUAUGAAGUUGGUUACUCGUUUUCGUCUGUAUUUCUUGUAUUGUGUUUCUCAGAAUAUGACAGAAUUCCUUUGAGAUAUUGUUGCGUAUUCCAGUGGUCAUUUGGGUGAUGAGUUGGUGAAGUCAAUGUAUGUGAAUCAAGAAAAACUCGCUAUGGUACUGGGCAGAUCUGUUGUGUAACCCAAGGACUAGCACGUGUUCGUCAGCACAGCACUGAGAACUGGCUCUGAGGAACUUCCUCUAAACUGGAGCUGUCUCAUCCGUCAUGUUAUGCGGGAGAGCAGCCUUACAAUUGAAGCUGAGAAAAAGUCCAAGUACGUUGCAACUGUGCGGCUGCUCUUGUGCAUGCAUUGUAAUCCUCGGGCGCCACCGGCUUCCUAAACUGCUGCCCGAAUCUCGUCAGUCCGCACCUUGAGAAUACAACACUACAGGUGAGCCUCCAGGAAAAUUGUAGUUGUGGCUCCGAGAGACUGAACCGAGGCUUUUCAGGUCAGUGAUAGUGGACAACAAGCAGGACUUAAAGCAAAAAGAUUAGACCCAACUCUUUGUGGUAUAGAGUUUGCAGAGUCUGAAGGAACUGUUAGUGAACUAUUUUUCUGGAAUGUCUAUGGAAGAAACUUUUUUUGUCAGAUGUACAAUUUUUAGGAGUGGAAACGAGGUUGUGACUCAAGAGUGACACGAAUUGCUAACUAAUAAUUUGAUUGGCCAGACAAAGAACCUGAAAUGCCGAAUAAAACAUAAGAACAGACCAAGCUGAAAUUUUUGCAGAAUUCCAGGGCAGAGGUUAGACUUGGGUAUACUCCUCCUGUGGCACACUUGACUGGUAUGGCUGAAGGGAGGUUGCAAAAGGUUGCUCAGCACUUGGGUUGUGGGUGUAGGUGACCGUCGGCUGGAGUCACUGCUGCUACUGCUCGGAUCAGCCCUGCCUGGUAGCAGCCAUCAUCUUCCAUCACACGUGUGCAGUCUCAUCGGCCACGCACCUCCUCGUAAUAUUCACAAAAUCAUUCCAGAUUAUAGUUUAUACGCAAGAAGAGGAGAAGGAAUUAUCUUAAUGACAGGAGUGGCUUCAAAAAUUUCAACAUUGGAUCAUCUACUCUUUAGAAAGAUUUUCAGUGUUUUGUUUUAAAACAACUGAUAUAUCCAGCUCAGUUCCACUUGGAUCACUUACUUCCUGGUCCUCUCCUGUCUUCAGGAAAAGCAGAAGGUGCUAGAAAGUCGUCGUGCAGCAGUGUGAGAUGGCCACCCGACACACUUAUGUACGUUAUCACAAGUAUACGUCUCGGAGCCUGCAGUGAUCUGUGCUGCACCUUGGAGUUCCUUCAGUGUUGAAGUUUCACAGUAUUGAGCUUCUGAAGAAUGGGACACACUGAAGGUUGUUAAUCAGACUUUGAACAGCAAGCUCGUAAUUGCACAAUUGUUAAACUGGACAGUUGUUAAUAUGGACAAUUGUUAAAUCUGGGUACACAGUUUAUAAACUCAUUGCUUGUGUGAA